This 510-nucleotide long non-coding RNA is filed under the name Homo sapiens (human). Its description in RNAcentral is "HSALNT0204876". Lineage: Eukaryota; Metazoa; Chordata; Mammalia; Primates; Hominidae. The record is from RNAcentral.
GUAUGAGAAUUCAAUACUUAUAGAGUUAUAACUGUCCUGAGGUGAAGGUCAAUGUGUGUGUUUGUUUGCAAGAUAGUUUAUGUUGUAAAUUUAUUAAUUAAUUUGCACCUAUUUUAUAGCCGUUCUGGACAUACACAUGGGCAGAAGAUGUAGCCGCCUUGUGUGAAAAUUUGAGAGCUCUCUACUCCAUCUUCCGCUAGUAUAACCCUCAUUGGCUGGAAUCAUAAUGGUAUCUGCAUCUGGAACUGGCCACUAGUAUAACACCUACAAAAUGCACAACGGCCUUCAGACCAUAUGAAAAGUCUACAGGGUGAGAAUCUGAAAAUCCAGCAAUGAGGAGAAAAAAGUUAUCUCCCAUUAAGAACACUUUCCAGAAGCUACACAAUUCCAGUUAUUGAUUCAUCCCAUUUACUAGAACCUGUUCAUCUGGCUAUGCCCAAAACCAAGGGAAACUGAAAUAGUGGUUACCAUAUUCUGUAACUCAGCCUAGCCUAGCUUCAGAAGUUUUAA